UAGGGAAUCUUCGGCAAUGGGGGGAACCCUGACCGAGCAACGCCGCGUGAGUGAAGAAGGUUUUCGGAUCGUAAAGCUCUGUUGUUAAGGAAGAACGAGUGUGAGAAUGGAAAGUUCAUGCUGUGACGGUACUUAACCAGAAAGGGACGGCUAACUACGUGCCAGCAGCCGCGGUAAUACGUAGGUCCCGAGCGUUGUCCGGAUUUAUUGGGCGUAAAGCGAGCGCAGGCGGUUAGAAAAGUCUGAAGUGAAAGGCAGUGGCUCAACCAUUGUAGGCUUUGGAAACUGUUUAACUUGGGUGCAGAAGGGGAGAGUGGAAUUCCAUGUGUAGCGGUGAAAUGCGUAGAUAUAUGGAGGAACACCGGUGGCGAAAGCGGCUCUCUGGUCUGUAACUGACGCUGGGGCUCGAAAGCGUGGGGGGCGAACAGG
RNAcentral lists this ribosomal RNA (429 nucleotides) under Bacteroidota bacterium. RNAcentral's name for it is "Bacteroidetes bacterium partial 16S ribosomal RNA". It matches the Rfam family "Bacterial small subunit ribosomal RNA", at positions 355 to 776 of the family's 1533-position model. The record is from RNAcentral. Lineage: Bacteria; Pseudomonadati; Bacteroidota.